GAGUAGCUGGGACUACAGGUUGUCAUUCUUCUUGUUUCGUCUCCUCCUCCUUUCCCUGGAUGAUCUUAUUUCCUCCCUGGUCUUUAACCAUCACCUGCAGGCUGACAGCUCCCAAAUCUCUGUCUUCAAUCCGGAUGUCUGUCCCGGGCUCCAGUUUUGUGGUUCCACCUAUAUGCUCUACAGGUCAUAGAAUUUUCCACACUCCUUGACGGAGGUUCUUAACCCUUAUCCAUCAGCAUUCUCAGACAGCACCUCCGGUUAGGGACAGUAUCUGACCGUCCGACAUCCCUGCAGCCCCCAUGCUGUCACACAGACUCAGCCUCAGGUAGAUGGUUUCCGUAGAUGGUGGCUUUCUUUGGACCCUUGAUAUCAACCAGUUACUAUUUGACUCUUCUGCAGAACCCCAUGUUGACCCCUGCUUUGAGGUGGCAGCGUUAACACUACUCUUUGUUAUAAGCUCUCGUCUGGGGCAACUCAGGAGAACGGGACCAGAUGUGCAGAGGUAAUGAAUACCAGGGAAUCAGGAAACCACUGGAUCAGUUCUUUGAGCCAUAGAACAACACUCAUCCCAGCAGCUGGGAAGCUAUCUGCAAAAGUCCAUCUGCAGAAAGGGCUUCCUGGUCUUGCGUGUGGCUGGGCCAUUUCUCUGGAUGCAGGUUUUUCAUUAUACAGUCUUCUCAAAGGACCACCUGCUCUCAACACC
RNAcentral lists this non-coding RNA (703 nucleotides) under Pongo abelii (Sumatran orangutan). The record is from RNAcentral. Lineage: Eukaryota; Metazoa; Chordata; Mammalia; Primates; Hominidae.